RNAcentral lists this ribosomal RNA (1409 nucleotides) under Staphylococcus sp. MDS7B. RNAcentral's name for it is "bacterial LSU rRNA". It matches the Rfam family "Bacterial large subunit ribosomal RNA", at positions 1510 to 2925 of the family's 2925-position model. The record is from RNAcentral. Lineage: Bacteria; Bacillati; Bacillota; Bacilli; Caryophanales; Staphylococcaceae.
GUCUAAGCAGUGAGAUUGAGUGUAGGUAAUCGGACACUCUUAAGAUUGAGCUGUGAUGGGGAGAGGAAAUUGUUUCCUCGAGUCGUUGAUUUCACACUGCCGAGAAAAGCCUCUAGAUAGAGAUUAGGUGCCCGUACCGCAAACCGACACAGGUAGUCAAGAUGAGAAUUCUAAGGUGAGCGAGCGAACUCUCGUUAAGGAACUCGGCAAAAUGACCCCGUAACUUCGGGAGAAGGGGUGCUCUUUAGGGUGCAAGCCCAGAAGAGCCGCAGUGAAUAGGCCCAAGCGACUGUUUAUCAAAAACACAGGUCUCUGCUAAACCGUAAGGUGAUGUAUAGGGGCUGACGCCUGCCCGGUGCUGGAAGGUUAAGAGGAGUGGUUAGCUUCUGCGAAGCUACGAAUCGAAGCCCCAGUAAACGGCGGCCGUAACUAUAACGGUCCUAAGGUAGCGAAAUUCCUUGUCGGGUAAGUUCCGACCCGCACGAAAGGCGUAACGAUUUGGGCACUGUCUCAACGAGAGACUCGGUGAAAUCAUAGUACCUGUGAAGAUGCAGGUUACCCGCGACAGGACGGAAAGACCCCGUGGAGCUUUACUGUAGCCUGAUAUUGAAAUUCGGCACAGCUUGUACAGGAUAGGUAGGAGCCUUUGAAACGUGAGCGCUAGCUUACGUGGAGGCGUUGGUGGGAUACUACCCUAGCUGUGUUGGCUUUCUAACCCGCACCACUUAUCGUGGUGGGAGACAGUGUCAGGCGGGCAGUUUGACUGGGGCGGUCGCCUCCUAAAAGGUAACGGAGGCGCUCAAAGGUUCCCUCAGAAUGGUUGGAAAUCAUUCAUAGAGUGUAAAGGCAUAAGGGAGCUUGACUGCGAGACCUACAAGUCGAGCAGGGUCGAAAGACGGACUUAGUGAUCCGGUGGUUCCGCAUGGAAGGGCCAUCGCUCAACGGAUAAAAGCUACCCCGGGGAUAACAGGCUUAUCUCCCCCAAGAGUUCACAUCGACGGGGAGGUUUGGCACCUCGAUGUCGGCUCAUCGCAUCCUGGGGCUGUAGUCGGUCCCAAGGUUGGGCUGUUCGCCCAUUAAAGCGGUACGCGAGCUGGGUUCAGAACGUCGUGAGACAGUUCGGUCCCUAUCCGUCGUGGGCGUAGGAAAUUUGAGAGGAGCUGUCCUUAGUACGAGAGGACCGGGAUGGACAUACCUCUGGUGUACCAGUUGUCGUGCCAACGGCAUAGCUGGGUAGCUAUGUAUGGACGGGAUAAGUGCUGAAAGCAUCUAAGCAUGAAGCCCCCCUCAAGAUGAGAUUUCCCAACUUCGGUUAUAAGAUCCCUCGAAGAUGACGAGGUUAAUAGGUUCGAGGUGGAAGCGUGGUGACACGUGGAGCUGACGAAUACUAAUCGAUCGAAGACUUAAUC